UGGGGAAUAUUGCGCAAUGGGGGCAACCCUGACGCAGCAACGCCGCGUGCGGGACGACGGCCUUCGGGUUGUAAACCGCUUUCAGCAGGGAAGAUAGUGACGGUACCUGCACAAGAAGCCCCGGCUAACUACGUGCCAGCAGCCGCGGUAAUACGUAGGGGGCGAGCGUUAUCCGGAUUCAUUGGGCGUAAAGCGCGCGCAGGCGGCUCUUCAAGCGGAACCUCUAACCCCGGGGCUCAACCUCGGGCCGGGUUCCGAACUGGAGGGCUCGAGUGCGGUAGAGGCAGGCGGAAUUCCCGGUGUAGCGGUGGAAUGCGCAGAUAUCGGGAAGAACACCGAUGGCGAAGGCAGCCUGCUGGGCCGGCACUGACACUGAGGCGCGAAAGCUAGGGGAGCGAACAGG
RNAcentral lists this ribosomal RNA (403 nucleotides) under Verrucomicrobiota bacterium. RNAcentral's name for it is "Verrucomicrobia bacterium partial 16S ribosomal RNA". It matches the Rfam family "Bacterial small subunit ribosomal RNA", at positions 355 to 776 of the family's 1533-position model. Lineage: Bacteria; Pseudomonadati; Verrucomicrobiota. The record is from RNAcentral.